Molecule: ribosomal RNA, 413 nt
Filed under: uncultured bacterium
Lineage: Bacteria
Description: bacterial SSU rRNA
Rfam family: Bacterial small subunit ribosomal RNA
Source: RNAcentral
GGGCCCGCACAAGCGGUGGAGCAUGUGGUUUAAUUCGAUGAUACGCGAGGAACCUUACCAGGGCUUAAAUGUAGGUUGCAUGAUCUAGAGAUAGAUCUUUCUUCGGACUACCUACAAGGUGCUGCAUGGUUGUCGUCAGCUCGUGCCGUGAGGUGUCAGGUUAAGUCCUAUAACGAGCGCAACCCCUGUCGUUAGUUACCAGCAAUUAAAGUUGGGUACUCUAGCGAGACUGCCGGUGCAAACCGUGAGGAAGGUGGGGAUGACGUCAAAUCAUCACGGCCCUUACGUCCUGGGCUACACACGUGCUACAAUGGCCGGUACAGAGAGCAGCCACUACGCGAGUAGGAGCGAAUCUUCAAAGCCGGUCUCAGUUCGGAUCGCAGUCUGCAACUCGACUGCGUGAAGCUGGAAUC